Molecule: long non-coding RNA, 842 nt
Filed under: Carica papaya (papaya)
Lineage: Eukaryota; Viridiplantae; Streptophyta; Magnoliopsida; Brassicales; Caricaceae
Description: long non-coding RNA (CPAP_LNC005728)
Source: RNAcentral
CAUUAAAAUCAACAAAUGGAAAAAAGAAAUCUAUAUAUCAUCGAUCUUAUUCUCUGACCCUGUACAGAAAGACCGAAAAAGAAAAAAGGGGAAAAAAACCCCCAAAAAUUCGAACUCGGUGAGUCGAGUACAGAUCAGCGCUCAGAAUUGAAGCUGUAGCCAGGACUAGCAGCAGGAGUUUCGGACCCCGAGCUAAGCCUGCUUCCGUCCCCUGUUUUCUUCUUCCCAAUCGAAACGAUUGUGGAAACUAUUCCUUUGAUUAUCUUCCUUUUGAUCUCGCCUCGCCUCGGCGGCAGGUUGUAAUUUCCAUUGUUGGAAACCUCAAUAGAACCCGCGAAUUCCAUUACUCUGAAGCGAUUAUGGAGGAUUUCGAAGUUAGGACAAGAGAGAAGCGAAGUAACAGAGGAAUCUAGCAGAGAAUACGGAGUUCGGGAAGGCUGUGAGGAGAGAAAUUUGCGGUUUCUGAGAGAAAUUGGAGAAGGAUUUUGUAGAGAGUGUUUGGUAGAGAAAGAAAGUGAAUGAGGAUCGAUGGAGGUUGAAGAGGAAUAUAAAGAGUCCAGAGCGUGAGUAUACAAGCGAAGUGAUUUGAGUUUCUUGGUGAGCAAGAUUGUGUGGGAACUGUAGAGAACCAGAAGGCAGAAUCAGGUGGUGUUAGGACCAUGGGAGAUGCAGUGAGAUUCUGUUGAGAAUAAGCCUUUUCAAACAAAUGAAGGACAAAAUGGUAAUUUAAUGUUCAAAGGGAAUCUAAUUCGGGGCUUUCGACUCUGCUUUUUAGAAUUGGUCUGGUGACCAAACUGGCUUGCCUAACCGCUCACUGUUUGCAGUAGGUUUUGUCUCCUUCU